This is an RNA transcript of Psammomys obesus (fat sand rat), 4181 nucleotides long. It is a transcript of the gene named zyg-11 related cell cycle regulator, with no coding region annotated. The transcript has 17 exons. The record is from RefSeq and is a predicted model, not a curated record. Lineage: Eukaryota; Metazoa; Chordata; Mammalia; Rodentia; Muridae.
GGACACGACGUGAGAACCCCUCCUCUGUUGCUAAGGGGCGGCCCGGAAGUGACGCUUUGUUGACAGCACUCAGGCAGCCACAGGCUCUCCUAGCCGUCGGAGCAGGAUCGGGGCGGGGGAGGGGCUGGGCCCGGAGCCAGUAGCCGGCGGCCCUAGCCCAGCCGGCCGCCCGAGGGCAACUGAACGGCCUUGUCCCGGGCUCCGGCCGCUGCAUUCUCGCCCUGCCCCGCCCCGCCGACCGGUACCCGAACCGGAUCCGACCUCCUGCGGCUCUCUGGCCACCGAUUCCCCCGGGCCGCAGCCUCCGCCUGAAAACCUGCGAAGCAUCCCGUCUUCCCGCUGAGGGCCGCCCCCUCCUAGGGUUGUGGCUCUGCCAAUGAUCUUGUGAUUACUGGGAAUUUAUAGUUGCCCUGUGGGCCCUCUCCCUAGAGUGGCCUGCCGCCUGCCUUCUCCCAGCAUGGCGUCCGACACACCUGAGUCCCUGAUGGCCCUCUGUACUGACUUCUGUCUCCGAAAUCUUGAUGGCACCCUGGGCUACCUGCUAGACAAGGAGACCCUGCGGCAUCCAGACAUCUUCUUGCCCAGCGAAAUCUGUGACCAGCUGGUCAAUGAAUAUGUGGAGCUGGUCAGUGCCGCCUGCACCUUUGAGCCACACGAGACCUUCUUCAGCCUCUUCUCAGAUCCCCGCAGCACUCGCCUUACUAGGAUCCACCUCCGGGAGGACCUGGUGCAGGACCAGGACCUGGAAGCCAUCCGAAAGCAGGACCUGGUGGAGCUAUACCUGACCAACUGCGAGAAGCUGUCUGCCAAGAGCCUGCAGACGCUGCGGAGCUUCAGCCACAGCCUGGUGUCCCUGAGUCUCUUCGGCUGUGCCAACAUCUUCUACGAGGAGGACAACCCAGGGGGCUGUGAGGACGAGUGCCUCGUCAACCCCACCUGCCAGGUGCUGGUCAAGGACUUCACCUUUGAGGGCUUUAGCCGCCUGCGAUUCCUCAACCUGGGCCGCAUGAUUGACGGUGUCCCUGUGGACUCACUGCUCCGGCCACUCAACUCACUGGCUGCCUUGGACCUCUCAGGCAUCCAGACAAGCGAUGCCACCUUCCUAACACAGUGGAAGGACAGUCUGAUGUCCCUUGUGCUCUACAACAUGGACCUUUCAGAAGACCACAUCCGGGUCAUUGUCCAGCUACACAAGCUUCGCCACCUGGACAUCUCCCGAGACCGCCUCUCCAGCUACUACAAGUUCAAGCUGACUCGGAAGGUGCUCAGCCUCUUGGUGCAGAAGCUGGGGAACCUAAUGUCUCUGGACAUUUCUGGCCACAUGAUCCUAGAGAACUGCAGCAUCUCCAAGAUGGAUGAGGAGGCAGGACAGACCAGCACUGACCCUUCCAAGAGCAGCAUCAUGCCUUUUCGGGCUCUGAAGAGGCCACUGCAGUUCCUUGGGCUCUUUGAGACCUCCUUGUGUCGCCUCACGCACAUUCCAGCCUACAAAGUAAGUGGUGACAAAAAUGAAGAGCAGGUGCUGAACGCCAUCGAGGCCUACACAGAACACCGGCCUGAGAUCACUUCUAGGGCCAUCAACCUGCUCUUUGACAUUGCACGCAUUGAACGCUGCAACCAGCUUCUGCGGGCCCUGAAGCUGGUCAUCACAGCCCUCAAGUGCCACAAGUAUGACAAGAACAUUCAAGUGACCGGCAGUGCUGCCCUCUUCUACCUGACCAAUUCUGAGUACCGCUCAGAGCAGAGCGUGAAGCUACGCCGGCAGGUCAUCCAGGUGGUGCUGAAUGGCAUGGAGUCCUAUCAGGAGGUGACGGUGCAGCGGAACUGCUGUCUGACCCUCUGCAACUUCAGCAUCCCCGAGGAACUGGAGUUCCAGUACCGCCGGGUGAAUGAGCUCCUGCUCGGCAUCCUCAGCCCCACCCGGCAGGACGAGUCCAUCCAGCGGAUUGCCGUGCACUUGUGCAAUGCCCUAGUCUGCCAGGUGGACAAUGACCACAAGGAGGCUGUGGGCAAGAUGGGCUUCGUCGUGACCAUGUUGAAGCUGAUCCAGAAGAAGCUGCUGGACAAGACGUGUGACCAGGUCAUGGAGUUCUCCUGGAGUGCCCUGUGGAACAUCACAGACGAGACACCGGACAACUGCGAGAUGUUCCUCAACUUCAAUGGCAUGAAGCUCUUUCUCGACUGCCUGAAGGAGUUCCCAGAGAAGCAGGAGCUGCACCGGAACAUGCUCGGGCUCUUGGGGAAUGUGGCAGAGGUGAAGGAGCUACGGCCUCAGCUGAUGACCUCCCAGUUCAUCAGCGUCUUCAGCAACCUGCUGGAAAGCAAGGCCGACGGCAUUGAGGUUUCUUACAAUGCCUGUGGUGUCCUCUCCCACAUCAUGUUCGAUGGCCCUGAGGCCUGGGGUGUCUGUGAACCCCAGCGGGCAGAGGUGGAGGAGCGUAUGUGGGCGGCCAUCCAGAGCUGGGAUAUCAACUCCCGAAGGAAUAUCAACUACAGGUCAGAGAUGGGAAGGUCCUUUGAGCCGAUUCUGCGCCUCCUUCCUCAGGGGAUCUCUCCAGUCAGCCAGCACUGGGCCACCUGGGCCCUGUACAACCUCGUGUCUGUGUACCCUGACAAGUACUGCCCCCUGCUGAUUAAAGAAGGCGGGAUGCCCCUGCUGAGGGACCUAAUCAAGAUGGCCACUGCCCGGCAGGAAACCAAGGAGAUGGCCCGCAAGGUGAUUGAGCACUGCAGUAACUUUAGAGAGGAGAACAUGGACACGUCCAGAUAGAGGCCACACAGUUCGGACCACGGGCCGGAAGGAAGCACUGGAGGUCCAGUGGGCAGGUCCCUUCCAGAGCCUCCCACAGGAUGAAGAGGCAGUGAGGACUUUUGCACAGCUGAUGCUUUUCCUAAAUGAAGUGUGAAGUUUUGUGUGUAUGACUUCUCCUGAGUCUUUGCAGCUCCUUGCCACUCUCAGUCCGCCUCCAAGCUUUUAUUGCUGCCAUGUUCACUCCUGCCCCAGCCAGGCUUGCCUCUAAUGCUGUGAGUGUCCAAUCCCUUCCCAGUGAUUUGAGACUCUGGCCUGGCUUCUGUCUAUUAUGGGAGGAGCUGGCCCUUACCAGGCUGUUCAACAUCCCUGAUCCCUGCCUGAGGGUGAGGACGAUAAGGUUUGAGAUUACGACUAGCCUACUGGGUCUCCCAGAAGCCUUGGUGCUCCAGGCUGUGAGCCCUCUGGGGCCAGAGAGUAAGCUGUUUCCAGGCCUCAGGCCAAGCAGAUCCUGUCCAGAGGACCCUGGAGAAGGAGGGUUUAGUUGGCCCACUGCUCUCUGGCCAGGCCUACCUGUGGCCAUGCUGCUAUGGAGGCUGCCUCAAGUCUCCCUCAGGCCUCAGGCUUUUGAAGGCUCCAGCCCAGAGAUGGUCAGAACUCAGGGGCAAUUUCAUUCAUUGCCCCUUCUGCCAAACAUGCCAUAAACCGCCCCAGCUCUGGCAGCUGGCACCUUCCAGGACCAGGGUCUUGCUCCUUGUUCUGUAGCUCUCAUCUGCUCACAGCCCCCAGUGCCCAGUCUCUCCCACCAGCAGCUGAGUUGAGCCCACCCGCUGCCCAGAAGAUACUGCAGCUCCCUCCCAGGGCAGGAGCUCCCACUCCAGCCUCAGAGGGGCAGCGGGAAGCCACCUCCAGACCAGCACUUGGACAGCCCUCUGUCCCUCCAGCCCAGUCCCUGAGAAGCUGCUGUCCUGAGUGACAGGCAACUCUCUAGGCAUCUCGUGCACCUUCUCACUAUCCCAGCAUUGCUUCUCCUUAACACAGAGCUACUUAGGAGACCUGUGCACACAAGAAGGCUUGGGGAGCAAAGCUGACCCUGGAGGCAGCCUUUGGUGUGGUUUUUCUGUCCUCUUUUUUCCCCUGGGCCUGUCCUUUGAUUUUCCAGGCAUGUCUGCCUACAGGUUUGCCCUUGAACCUAGGGAGAGGAGACCGACCUUUCCAGAGGAAACUCCCUGGUCAGUGGGUAGAGGGCGUAGCCAUGUGCUUCUCCCUUGCAGCACUUGGGCAACCUCAGCCCCUCCUUUUCAUCACAGGCCCUUCUGGCAGCAGCCAGACCUGAGCAGAGUUCACAUCCCAUCGCUUUACUGCCUGGGGUCUGGGGAAAUGUCUGUACUUUGGGAUGUCACAGAAAUACAUUUUUGUGCAACGUGCAGAA